RNAcentral lists this ribosomal RNA (500 nucleotides) under Trichoderma atroviride. Its description in RNAcentral is "eukaryotic LSU rRNA". The stretch from base 125 to 278 matches the Rfam family "5.8S ribosomal RNA". The record is from RNAcentral. Lineage: Eukaryota; Fungi; Ascomycota; Sordariomycetes; Hypocreales; Hypocreaceae.
CGCCCCGGGUGCGUCGCACCCCCGGAACCAGGCGCCCGCCGGAGGGACCAACCAAACUCUUUUCUGUAGUCCCCUCGCGGACGUUAUUUCUUACAGCUCUGAGCAAAAAUUCAAAAUGAAUCAAAACUUUCAACAACGGAUCUCUUGGUUCUGGCAUCGAUGAAGAACGCAGCGAAAUGCGAUAAGUAAUGUGAAUUGCAGAAUUCAGUGAAUCAUCGAAUCUUUGAACGCACAUUGCGCCCGCCAGUAUUCUGGCGGGCAUGCCUGUCCGAGCGUCAUUUCAACCCUCGAACCCCUCCGGGGGGUCGGCGUUGGGGACCUCGGGAGCCCCUAAGACGGGAUCCCGGCCCCGAAAUACAGUGGCGGUCUCGCCGCAGCCUCUCCUGCGCAGUAGUUUGCACAACUCGCACCGGGAGCGCGGCGCGUCCACGUCCGUAAAACACCCAACUUCUGAAAUGUUGACCUCGGAUCAGGUAGGAAUACCCGCUGAACUUAAGGAU